AUGCCCCCUCCGGCAAUGGCGCUCCGGCAACUCAUCGCGUGCGUCCUGUGCAUGUUCCUCCUCCUGGCCGUCGCCGCCGCUGCCGGCCCAAGCCCCCUGCAGCCUCAGGACCUUGUCGGCCGCGUCCACACGGGCUGCGCCAACACGCUGAAUGUGGUGCCGUGGGACUGCGCGGACCAGUUCAUCCGGGCCAUCCUCAGCCGCCGCACGGCGGAUACAAUCCCCGUCACCUACGACUGCUGCGCCAAGCUCGCCUGCGUUCGCGAGGGGCCGUGCGUAGACCUGCUCCGCAGGGUCUGCUUGCCCCCUCAUAGGGGCUACUGCCAGUAG
Molecule: ribosomal RNA, 330 nt
Filed under: Triticum aestivum (bread wheat)
Lineage: Eukaryota; Viridiplantae; Streptophyta; Magnoliopsida; Poales; Poaceae
Description: partial small subunit ribosomal RNA
Source: RNAcentral